This 390-nucleotide ribosomal RNA is filed under the name uncultured bacterium. RNAcentral describes it as "bacterial SSU rRNA". It matches the Rfam family "Bacterial small subunit ribosomal RNA", at positions 29 to 419 of the family's 1533-position model. The record is from RNAcentral.
AUUGAACGCUGGCGGCAUGCUUUACACAUGCAAGUCGAACGGCAGCACGGGGGCAACCCUGGUGGCGAGUGGCGAACGGGUGAGUAACACAUCGGAACGUGUCCAGUUGUGGGGGAUAACCCAUCGAAAGGUGGGCUAAUACCGCAUGAGCUGGCAACAGGAAAGCGGGGGACCCGCAAGGGCCUUGUGCGAUUGGAGCGGCCGAUGUCCGAUUAGCUAGUUGGUGGGGAAAGGCCUACCAAGGCUUCGAUCGGUAGCUGGUCUGAGAGGAUGAUCAGCCACACUGGGACUGAGACACGGCCCAGACUCCUACGGGAGGCAGCAGUGGGGAAUUUUGGACAAUGGGGGCAACCCUGAUCCAGCCAUGCCGCGUGAGUGAAGAAGGCCUGG